UCCCGUACGAUCACCGAAGUUAAGCAACACCAAGCCUGAUCAGUACCUAGAUGGGUGACUGCUUGUGAAUACUAUUUGCUGUAAG
This is a non-coding RNA of Acanthosepion pharaonis, 85 nucleotides long. The record is from the annotation of a GenBank genome assembly. NCBI's taxonomy places the organism in Eukaryota, Metazoa, Mollusca, Cephalopoda, Sepiida, Sepiidae.